This 253-nucleotide ribosomal RNA is filed under the name uncultured bacterium. RNAcentral's name for it is "partial 16S ribosomal RNA". It matches the Rfam family "Bacterial small subunit ribosomal RNA", at positions 524 to 776 of the family's 1533-position model. The record is from RNAcentral.
UACGGGGGGGGCAAGCGUUGUUCGGAAUUACUGGGCGUAAAGGGCGCGUAGGCGGUUUGCUAAGUUGGAUGUGAAAACUCUGGGCUUAACCCAGAGCCUGCAUCCAAAACUGGCAAACUUGAGUACUGGAGGGGAAAGCGGAAUUCCUGGUGUAGCGGUGAAAUGCGUAGAUAUCAGGAGGAACACCGGUGGCGAAGGCGGCCCUCUGGACGGAUACUGACGCUGAGGCGCGAAAGCGUGGGGAUCAAACAGG